Molecule: ribosomal RNA, 441 nt
Filed under: uncultured bacterium
Lineage: Bacteria
Description: partial 16S ribosomal RNA
Rfam family: Bacterial small subunit ribosomal RNA
Source: RNAcentral
CCUACGGGAGGCAGCAGUGGGGAAUAUUGCACAAUGGGCGAAAGCCUGAUGCAGCAACGCCGCGUGAAGGAAGACGGUUCUCGGAUUGUAAACUUCUGUUUUUAGUGAAGAAUAAUGACGGUAACUAAGGAGCAAGCCACGGCUAAAUACGUGCCAGCAGCCGAGGUAAUACGUAGGGGGCAAGAGUUGUCCGGAAUUACUGGGUGUAAAGGGAGCGUAGGCGGGAAGCCAAGUCAGCUGUGAAAACUACGGGCUUAACCUGUAGACUGCAGUUGAAACUGGCUGUCUUGAGUGAAGUAGAGGUUGGCGGAAUUCGGAGUGUAGCGGUGAAAUGCGUAGAUAGUCGGAGGAACACCGGUGGCGAAGGCAGCCAACUGGGCUUUAACUGACGCUGAGGCUCGAAAGUGUGGGGAGCAAACAGGAUUAGAUACCCCUGUAGUC